GAAAUUAGGUUGCUGAAUUUUGUGAAGCCCAAAUAUGUGGGUUGUAUGCUAUCGAUUCUAUUAUAAAUGUGGCCCAAAUUGAUGAUCCAAUAAGAUGAAGAAUCCAGUAUUAUGGUAAAAACGUUUUUGUUAAACAUGCCUUUUAAUUGAAAAUGCAUAAUUGCUGGAUUGUUGACAUGUGGUUGAUCUUGCACCGUUGGAUGAUAUAAUUGGCUCCUCUCAUAUAAAGUCGAGGCCAAUGACUUUAGGGUUUCAUUCUGAAAAUCGCUAGCAACUUCUCUCGUUUAGUUUUCUCUGUGUACUGCUUGUUGGUGAUACUCUCUAUCAAUACUUAGUGUUUUGAGUUUUCGUGAGGGAGUAAACAUCUGUAUUUCUCUUGUGUGAGCUGUUAUUGAUGUUUUGAUAGAAUUUUGUAAGCACGAGAGAUUUAAGAACUUGGUGUUCUUGUAAUUGAAAAUUUUCCUGUUUUGGGGCAGUGCUAUUGGAUUCGAACUUAAUCCUAACGGAUGCUCAAUGGGGGACUAAACUUUGGAAACCAGUUGCUAAACCUCUGGGGCCUUUGGCCGAAAUUCCUAGUGUUCUUUUACUUUUUUGUUAUUUUCUUUUAUGAUUUUUUUUUCUUUAAAUAUUGAGUCACAAAGCUUGAGCGAAUCUUGGAACAAUAGUGUUAUCAGAGGUUAAAAUCCUUUUGAAUCUUGGUUUCUCAAAACUAUUUUUAAGAAAAAUUCGAUAUGCUUUGAGUUGGCUCCUCUAUUUUAAAGUAAACGACAGAUCUGAGGCGAUCUGUUAAUAAUCUAUCAAGGAACUUCUUGGAUCUGAACCUAGACUCGAUUCUUGGUACUUUUGAAUAUCUAUUUCAUAUCUGCAUUGCUGGUGAAGAAUUUUUCAUAACUUUUUUUUUUUUUUUUUUUAAAUUUUAAACGAAUCUGUUAAACGUUUUUGAAAACAAAGGAUUUUUGAAAAUCUCCCUAAAUUUACCUUUGUCCGAGGUCCUUGAGAGAACCCUAAAAUCUGAGAAAAUUAGGAUAUCGGCUUAAAGAAAUCCAGAAGCGUUUUUAUUGUUUCUUUAAAACUUAUAUUUCGCUACUUUGUGUGUGCUAUAAUAUCUCUUAUUUGGGUUUAAAUUCAUUUACAUGUUCUGGGCUAUAGCAUAUUGCUAACCUUUUGUUGAUACUAUAAUUGUAUUUUAUUUGUGGAAUAUGUCCUUUGUACACGUGAAUAAUUAAUAUCAUACAUUUUGAAUCUUCUCCUCUUAAUAUUUACUGAGUGUAAGCAUACUUGGCCAUACUACCUUUAUUGUACGGUCUUUGCCUAUAUUUGGAUUAUAUUCUCUAUCUUGUAAUUGGUUAUUUGAAAUUGAUCUGUUUGAUAUAUUCUUGUUUAUAUCUCACUUGAGUACAAUUGUUACGCUAUUGCAUAGCAUGACUACUAAAAUAGAUGUUUAGAUGUGGGAUGUGAAAGGAGACUUUAGUCUCUAGCGCUAGCAAAUGAAAAUAUGCUAAAGCCAUUGAUGAAUUUUGGCUCGAAAACCUAGCUGUUGAUAGGAAACUGAAUAAGGUGAAUUAGCAUGGAGUACUAUGUUUCUGCACCUAUUUGAUUCUGUACUUAGAAAAGUGGAAAAAACUAAAAUUGCUGUGGAAUUGUGGAUUGCUUUAGAAAAGCAGUACUUCAUUAAGACUCUACUAAAUAAAUGUUUUCUUUGGAGACAAUUUUUUGUUUAGUUUUAAGUUUGAUCCUAGUAUUGACUCGGAAGGAAAUGUGGACAGUUUUAAUAGGAUCACUCGAGAUCUUAUAAACUAUGGUUAAAAGAUCUUUGAUGAGCAAAAAGUGGUUGGUCUGCUCAAUGUACUAGGAGAGAAAUAUAAAGACAAAAAAUAUUUGAAAAUGUAGUAGAAGUGACUUGACUAUUGAUAUAAUUUGCAACUCGCUUUUUGAAUAGAGUAUUGAAAUUGAAAUUUGAACAUAAGGGGGUUUUUCAUGUUGAAAAUGUCUCAUCUUAUCAAUAACCUCAAGUCAAGGGUGUGAGUAAUUUCGAUCAAUCCAAUUACAAUAAGGACAAGAGCCUUAUUAAGAAGAAACAGGGUAAUAACAAAGAAAAAGAUGAGAAAACUUAUAAAGGAAAGAUAAAGAUCAAAAGGUGCUAUUAUUAUGGAAAAACAGGUCAUAUCAUUAAAGACAGUUUUAAAAUGGCCUGAGGUCAAAAUAAUGGGCUUAAUAUUGAGAAUGGCUCUUUAGCUAUUGUUGUCUCUCAUAAAUAAGUGGAAGCUAAUAUUGGGAUGGCCUGUGUAUCUUCAACUAAAAGGUCUGAUCACAACUGAGCUUUGGAUUCAGGUUGCUCCUUUCACAUGAGCCCCAAUGUUAACUGGUUCUCUAAUUUCUCCAAUCUUGAUGGAGGUUUUGUAAAACUCGGAAACAAUGAGUCAUUUCAAAAUAAGGGCAUUGACUAUAUUGUUUCGAAACUGGAAAAUUGAUCAAUACAUAAUGUUAAAACAUAUUAGAUAUGUGCCAUCACUAAGAAUAAAUCUCAUAUAUUUAGGGCUUCUAGAUGAUGAAAAUAUCGGAUUGAGAUCAAGAAUGGUUUCACAAACAUAAUAAGAGGCCAAAACCUUAUUGUCAAUUCACCUAAAACAAAUGGAAUCUAUGUUACAGAUAUUGAGCCUAUUUCACCCAACAAUGUGUGAACUUG
RNAcentral lists this long non-coding RNA (2686 nucleotides) under Olea europaea subsp. europaea. The record is from RNAcentral. Lineage: Eukaryota; Viridiplantae; Streptophyta; Magnoliopsida; Lamiales; Oleaceae.